Otolemur garnettii (small-eared galago) is the source of this 176-nucleotide long non-coding RNA. RefSeq lists it as uncharacterized. The transcript has 2 exons. The record is from RefSeq and is a predicted model, not a curated record. Lineage: Eukaryota; Metazoa; Chordata; Mammalia; Primates; Galagidae.
AUUUUCUUUCUUAAGGUGGGGAGAAGAAUUUUCAUUGUCUAAGCACCCUCAGGGAACAGAAGUCAAAGCAAUAACAUAUUCAGCAAUGCAGGUCUAUAAUGAAGAGAAGCCAGAAGUUUUUGUGAUCAUUGACAUUUAAGACACAAGAAAAGAAAAAAGAAAAGUCCUCCUUUGAA